RNAcentral lists this long non-coding RNA (221 nucleotides) under Setaria italica (foxtail millet). RNAcentral describes it as "long non-coding RNA (SITA_LNC005873)". Lineage: Eukaryota; Viridiplantae; Streptophyta; Magnoliopsida; Poales; Poaceae. The record is from RNAcentral.
AAAACUUGACAUUGAUGUAAUCCGACAUGUGAAUGACUAAUUUCUAUGGCAGAAGCGUGUUUAAAUUUUUAACCUGGUUUCAUUUCAUCUAUGAGCUUUGUUGGGAAUUUCAUAACCUAAAUGCUCACAAAAUUUCAGCAUCAUUUACCUUCUCUAACUCGAGUUGUGAGCAAAACAUCACACCUCGGCCUGCUGAAAAACAGCCAGGACAAAGAUGCAAA